This 823-nucleotide ribosomal RNA is filed under the name Bradymyces sp. LS-2015b. Its description in RNAcentral is "eukaryotic LSU rRNA". It matches the Rfam family "Eukaryotic large subunit ribosomal RNA", at positions 86 to 931 of the family's 3401-position model. The record is from RNAcentral. Lineage: Eukaryota; Fungi; Ascomycota; Eurotiomycetes; Chaetothyriales; Trichomeriaceae.
ACGGCGAGUGAAGCGGCAACAGCUCAAAUUUGAAAUCUGGCCGCAAGGUCCGAGUUGUAAUUUGUAGAGGAUGUUUCGGGCACCGCCGCGGUGUAAGUUCCUUGGAACAGGACGUCAGAGAGGGUGAGAAUCCCGUCUUGGAUCGCGGUAGGGCUCGUGUGAAACUCCUUCGACGAGUCGACUUGUUUGGGAAUGCAGGUCAAAAUGGGAGGUAAAUUUCUUCUAAAGCUAAAUAUUGGCCCGAGACCGAUAGCGCACAAGUAGAGUGAUCGAAAGAUGAAAAGCACUUUGAAAAGAGAGUUAAACAGUAUGUGAAAUUGUUGAAAGGGAAGCGCAGGCAACCAGACUCGAGCGCGGGGUUCCCCUGGUUCUGCCAGGUCACUUCCCCGCGACCGGGCCAUCAUCAGGUUUGGGGGUCGGUCAAAGGCCCCGGGAAUGUACCUACUCCUUCGGGGGUAGACUUAUAGCCCGGGGUGUCAUGCGACCUCCCGGGCCUGAGGAACGCGCUUCGGCGAGGAUGAUGGCGUAAUGGUUGUCUGCGACCCGUCUUGAAACACGGACCAAGGAGUCUAACAUCUAUGCGAGUGUUUGGGUGUCAAACCCCGGCGCGGAAUGAAAGUGAACGGAGGUCGGAAGGCGCAAGCCCGCACGAUCGACCGAUCCUGAUGUCUUCGGAUGGAUUUGAGUAAGAGCAUAGCUGUUGGGACCCGAAAGAUGGUGAACUAUGCGUGAAUAGGGUGAAGCCAGAGGAAACUCUGGUGGAGGCUCGCAGCGGUUCUGACGUGCAAAUCGAUCGUCAAAUUUGCGUAUAGGGGCGAAAGAC